This 3372-nucleotide unclassified non-coding RNA is filed under the name Hevea brasiliensis (rubber tree). Lineage: Eukaryota; Viridiplantae; Streptophyta; Magnoliopsida; Malpighiales; Euphorbiaceae. The record is from RNAcentral.
GUAAGUUAAAAGUGCAGCAAAGAGUCCGAUAAAUGCUGCUUACACUAAUGCAGCAUUAAUGGGAAAUUCAAAAAAAUGCAAAAUGCCAUAAGCUAAGCCGCCAAAAAACAAAUUAGGAACAGGUUGUCACAAUUGGAAAUGAUGAUUCAAUUGGUUAACGUGUGUUCUCAUACUUGUAUCAACAGAGCGACUUUGUUUUCCUAAAACAAAAAUGUCUCUAUCUGUUUGUAAGACAUGAAAACUGGAUUCUAGAGCCCGGACAGCACAGGAUAACAUUUUUUUUUAAUUACCCAAAUAUAAAAGGAAUAAGAUAAUUAAACAAAAGCUUCACAAGCUGAUAAGAAACAAUGGUGGAUCAAAAUAGAAUUCCCCAUCAGAAACUGGGAUUUGCAGCUAUACUAUCUGUCAUCCACUCUAGCUGCUGUUGCAGGUUGCUCAUUGCUGAGAGAUGCUUUCUUCCUACUAGGCCCAGUAGAAACUUUGACCAUGGCUGGUCUUAAAAGCCGAUUUCCAAGAAGAAAACCACGCUGGAAUUCUUGAAUUACAAUGCCUUCCUUGUACUCUUGUGACUCUUCACGUGCAAUGGCCUCAUGCAGCGAGGGAUCAAAAGGCUUUCCAACUGUUGCUACAGCAGCAACCUGCAAGCUCCUCAUAAUCUCCACAAACUGCUUGUAUAUACCUUGGUAACUUGCAUCAAUCUUCUUUUCCUUUUCUGUUUCUGGUUUUAUUUGUUGUUUGGCUCUUUCAAAGCUGUCCACCAUGGGCAAAAGGCUCUCAAUCACUUCUCCCUGGGCAUUACUCCUAAUGGUAAGCCUUUCCUUCUCUGACCUUUUUCUAAAAUUAUCAAAAUCUGCUUGCAAGCGAAUAUUUUUCUCCUUGCCAGAGGUUAUUUCCGCUGAUAAAGCUGAAACUUUCUGGAUUAAUUGAGUAUUCUCAUUUUCAAUAAUCAUUAUCCUAGCCUCAACGUCCAAUACAGUCCUCUCAUCUCCUAGAAGAAUAGCCGCUUUAUAAAUGUUAAUAAGGUUCUUCAAACUGGAUACACGUUGGCCAUCUGCUUCUUUUUCUGAUGCUUUCACAUCAUUUUGAACGUUCUCCUCUUUGUCAUUUGUCUAAAUUAAGAACAAAAAUGGGGGAAGGAACAUUAUUUUAAUCAAUUUGAAUUGCUACUAUCAAUUUAAGGGGGAAAAUUGGAGGUUAAAAUAAUUAAUAGAACAUUGGGAAAGGUAAAAUUCAUUAUCUUAAAUUGCAACUUCACUUCAAAAAGUUAUUGGUGAGAGUGAGGAAGUAAAAUGAACCGUUAGUUACAUGACUUAGUACGACAUCAAAGUUACCAAGAUCUCUAAACUCUCAAGGAGGUGCAAUAUGGAAUUGCCCACUGGAUCUCAUGGUGACGCCAAAUUUCUUUUAUUAGCAAUUUUAAACAGUUAGAAGAUACAAUAUGAGGUCCUACACCAAAUUAAACUCUCAAAUAUUCAGCCUAAAAUCAUAUGAUAGUUGUCAUUUCUUGGUUUCAUAUAUAUGUUUGUAAAUAGACCAGCAUAGCACAUGCAUAUACAUACAGCAAACCAGCUAAGCCUAACCCCACUUCACCAUCUAUGAUUUUGUGCCAUGCUUUGAUAACCGUCCUCCAAACUAACCCAUACUGCAUUCUACAUGACUGUUUAAUAUAAUACAAAUAAACAAAUGUUCAAAAUAGGGUUGAGGAUUUAAUUCAACACAGACGACAGCAUAACUAGGGGUCCUUAAGCACAUGAAAUCCCCUAGCCACAGCCUUCCAAACUCAUAGACAUAUAAUGCAAGCAUAAAGUCAAAACAAUCAAUUAAAAACUAAGAACUUAUAAAUGGAUGAUAUAUCAACAAAACUGUGGCCAAAAGGAAAAACAUAGAAGGCAGACGUGGUUGUGUUCAAAUCGUGUUUGACCAUAGACAGACUUGUGACCAAGCUUAAAGUAAAAAGAGAGAUCUAAAAGUCAGCUAGCAUGUGCAUCCAAGGAGAGUUCUUGCUGAGCAGAAAACUGCUCCAGGAGACAACACUCAAUUCGCCAAGGAAACAAUCUCAAAUAUGGAAAGCUUUAAUGGCCAAUAGUUGAGGUUAAUUUCUGCAAAUUUUCAUAUGCACAAUGCUUCCUAAAUCAACUUCAGUCAGACAUCAACUGUCCACCCCACAGUCAAAUGCUGAUACAUCCAGAGCAUCUACUAACUAGAUAAAGACGCCCAUUAGCAAAAAUCAUAGUUUAUGCUUGUGGCACACACAAACUAUGUACACCUAGAUGUAAAAGGACAUGGAGGAUCAGCGAAAGUUUUGUUACUUCUUUUUCAUGAGUAGCAUCUAUAAUUUCCACAUCUACGGAAGACACCUUCGAUUUCCAUCAUUUCAGAUACUGUUCAGCAUAAAAAAUUAAGAUUCGGAAAUCCCAGAAAUGGUAGAAUUUAAAAAAAAAAAAAAAUCGCAUUCACAUCCACCAAGAUUAUAGUAAAAACAAGUGUAAUAAAAACUCAAUGGACAUAAAACAAGCAUAAAUUAACAAGUUAAGAAAAAUGGAUUGCAUACAGUAGGUGCAGAAUCUUCGGCGGCAAGGUAAGCUUUGAAGGAACGCGAUUGGAAGUAGUAGUUUGUGAGUGGAGAGGAAUUGGAGAGAGGUAAUCCAAUGAUAGGAUUGGAAAGACGACGUCUAUGAUGGAGAGAUUGGAGAGGCAAUAGAGUUUUAGUUUCUAGGGUUUUGGAGGGUUUUGCAGGGAAUGAAGCGAAGAGGCGCGGAGGUGGAGGGGUUAAGAGAGAGUGGUUAGAGAAAGAAACGGCCAUUGAUUGAUGAUGAUGGUUUCAAUUUCACAAAUCAAAGCACUUGUUUAAAGCCCUUUCCCUUGCCUGCCCAACAAUGAGCACGAUUUGACGGAAGAACCGUCUGGAAACAGAGCUUAAUUUAGCUUAAUAAUUAAUUAACUAUUAAUAAGCUGAGCUAACCACUUUAUUUGUCCUGUAUGUGGACGGAGAUAGAUACGGACCGUGGUAUUGAGGUUCUUCUCUUGCCAAUUUUCCCUUACUCAACCAAACCCCAAUAUAUUUCCUCCACGGAAUUCGUAUGGCGUACCAUCGUUGACUGAGGUUGACAGCUACCAACAUGCAGACUAGAGUUAGCGUUCGACCUUGGAAUUUGCCGAAGUGCCAAUUCUUUUCCUUGCUAUUACCCAUCAAAAUAGCAAAUGAUACACGCAUACGGUUCCCAAGCAUACACUGCUUCUUUUUCUUCUAUCCAGCUCGUUUCUCGGGCAUGAAAAUUGCAAGAAAGAUAGCACUUAGUUCUGCCUCGUUAGAGAUCAUGAAAUACUUGGUUAAUGGAAUUUUCAUUUAUUAAGUCUUUAUAAAAGAUUGAU